This 481-nucleotide small RNA is filed under the name Pan troglodytes (chimpanzee). Its description in RNAcentral is "retained intron". The record is from RNAcentral. Lineage: Eukaryota; Metazoa; Chordata; Mammalia; Primates; Hominidae.
AGUCCGGCCGGCGCCAUGAAGGUCAUGGAGUCCUGGAGAUGCCCUCAGGCACCGGGAAGACAGUGUCCCUGUUGGCCCUGAUCAUGGCAUACCAGAGAGUGAGUGAUGCGCUGAACCCGUAAAGGCAGACAAAGGAAGGGGCGGGACAGGGACUGAGUCCGCUUGUUAUCGGCAGGCAUAUCCGCUGGAGGUGACCAAACUCAUCUACUGCUCAAGAACUGUGCCAGAGAUUGAGAAGUAGGUGAUUGAAGAGCUUCGAAAGUUGCUCAACUUCUAUGAGAAGCAGGAGGGCGAGAAGCUGCCGUUUCUGGGACUGGCUCUGAGCUCCCGCAAAAACUUGUGUAUUCACCCUGAGACAACGUCUGCAUCGACUCCAUGAGCGUCAACCUCACCCGCCGGACCCUUGACCGGUGCCAGGGCAACCUGGAGACCCUGCAGAAGACGGUGCUCAGGAUCAAAGAGACAGACGAGCAGCGCCUGC